RNAcentral lists this ribosomal RNA (1433 nucleotides) under uncultured organism. RNAcentral describes it as "SSU rRNA". It matches the Rfam family "Bacterial small subunit ribosomal RNA". The record is from RNAcentral.
ACAGGCUUAACACAUGCAAGUCGAGGGGCAGCACAGGUAGCAAUACCGGGUGGCGACCGGCGCACGGGUGAGUAACGCGUAUGCAACUUGCCUAUCAGAGGGGGAUAACCCGGCGAAAGUCGGACUAAUACCGCAUGAAGCAGGGGCCCCGCAUGGGGAUAUUUGCUAAAGAUUCAUCGCUGAUAGAUAGGCAUGCGUUCCAUUAGGCAGUUGGCGGGGUAACGGCCCACCAAACCGACGAUGGAUAGGGGUUCUGAGAGGAAGGUCCCCCACAUUGGUACUGAGACACGGACCAAACUCCUACGGGAGGCAGCAGUGAGGAAUAUUGGUCAAUGGGCGCGAGCCUGAACCAGCCAAGUCGCGUGAGGGAUGAAGGUUCUAUGGAUCGUAAACCUCUUUUAUAAGGGAAUAAAGUGCGGGACGUGUCCCGUUUUGUAUGUACCUUAUGAAUAAGGAUCGGCUAACUCCGUGCCAGCAGCCGCGGUAAUACGGAGGAUCCGAGCGUUAUCCGGAUUUAUUGGGUUUAAAGGGUGCGUAGGCGGCCUUUUAAGUCAGCGGUGAAAGUCUGUGGCUCAACCAUAGAAUUGCCGUUGAAACUGGGGGGCUUGAGUAUGUUUGAGGCAGGCGGAAUGCGUGGUGUAGCGGUGAAAUGCAUAGAUAUCACGCAGAACCCCGAUUGCGAAGGCAGCCUGCCAAGCCAUUACUGACGCUGAUGCACGAAAGCGUGGGGAUCAAACAGGAUUAGAUACCCUGGUAGUCCACGCAGUAAACGAUGAUCACUAGCUGUUUGCGAUACACUGUAAGCGGCACAGCGAAAGCGUUAAGUGAUCCACCUGGGGAGUACGCCGGCAACGGUGAAACUCAAAGGAAUUGACGGGGGCCCGCACAAGCGGAGGAACAUGUGGUUUAAUUCGAUGAUACGCGAGGAACCUUACCCGGGUUUGAACGCAUUCGGACCGAGGUGGAAACACCUUUUCUAGCAAUAGCCGUUUGCGAGGUGCUGCAUGGUUGUCGUCAGCUCGUGCCGUGAGGUGUCGGCUUAAGUGCCAUAACGAGCGCAACCCUUGCCACUAGUUACUAACAGGUAAAGCUGAGGACUCUGGUGGGACUGCCAGCGUAAGCUGCGAGGAAGGCGGGGAUGACGUCAAAUCAGCACGGCCCUUACAUCCGGGGCGACACACGUGUUACAAUGGCGUGGACAAAGGGAAGCCACCUGGCGACAGGGAGCGAAUCCCCAAACCACGUCUCAGUUCGGAUCGGAGUCUGCAACCCGACUCCGUGAAGCUGGAUUCGCUAGUAAUCGCGCAUCAGCCAUGGCGCGGUGAAUACGUUCCCGGGCCUUGUACACACCGCCCGUCAAGCCAUGGGAGCCGGGGGUACCUGAAGUCCGUAACCGCGAGGAUCGGCCUAGGGUAAAACUGGUGACUGGGGCU